This 207-nucleotide ribosomal RNA is filed under the name uncultured bacterium. RNAcentral describes it as "partial 16S ribosomal RNA". It matches the Rfam family "Bacterial small subunit ribosomal RNA", at positions 568 to 774 of the family's 1533-position model. The record is from RNAcentral.
CGCGCAGGCGGUCUUGUCCGUCAGGUGUGAAAGCUCGGGGCUCAACCCCGGAAGUGCACUUGAAACAGCAAGACUUGAAUACGGGAGAGGAGAGAGGAAUUCCUGGUGUAGAGGUGAAAUUCGUAGAUAUCAGGAGGAACACCGAUGGCGAAGGCAUCUCUCUGGACCGACAUUGACGCUGAGGCGCGAAGGCGUGGGUAGCGAACG